RNAcentral lists this long non-coding RNA (733 nucleotides) under Sus scrofa (pig). RNAcentral describes it as "lncRNA (ENSSSCG00070024736.1)". The record is from RNAcentral. Lineage: Eukaryota; Metazoa; Chordata; Mammalia; Artiodactyla; Suidae.
CAAUGUGUUGUACAUAGUAACCCUUUGAAAACAGUUUUGUACUCACUCAAAAAACAUUUCUUUAUGGAGGAUCAAAGUUCAUGAUCAAAUGAACUGAACUACUUGUUCUUGGCAGGGAACAGCUCCCUCAGAGGCCCAACCAGGAUGAGGCAGAGCCUUUCAAGAGAGAUAAAGGAAAACAGAAGAAGCUGUGAUAAAGUCCCUCAAGCUUCAUGUGGCUGUACCUCCAGAGGCACCUGAGGGUUCCUACACUCUGAGAGGUAGGUAUCUGAAAGCCUCAAGGAUUUUUAGUGUUUUUUUUGUUUGUUUGUUUUUAGGAACCACUGUUCUUCCAACUCCCAAUACUGAUCAGGAGGCAUAGAUUCCCACUACUCUAUGUGUGAUAAAAGGUUUCUAAUCAGGAAAAAGAAGACCUGGGAAGAAUUAUUAGAGUUGGUGGCAUCUGAUCCAGCCCUCAAAGUAUAAAACAUUGGUGAAUGUGUGUCUCAGAUACACACUAGGACCAAAACUGUGCUUUCUAAAUUGUUCACCUUCUGCCAUAUCCAUAGACAGAGGCUGCCAAACACCUGUUUCAAAGUAAGGAAAGAAAUUCAAAGAGAUGAACAGGAGGCACUUACAUUAAAAAGAAUGUAGGUUGUAUCUGUAUUUCCAACAUUUAGAAACUUAUAUUUGUGACUGUGACUCAGAUAAAAAAAGGUCUGUGAAUCUCCCCCCAAAUCAUCUCUUCCUUGCC